This 99-nucleotide ribosomal RNA is filed under the name Periophthalmus magnuspinnatus. Lineage: Eukaryota; Metazoa; Chordata; Actinopteri; Gobiiformes; Gobiidae. The record is from RNAcentral.
CAUACCUCCUUUUCAAUGACGAUCUUGUCUGAUCUUGAAAGCUAAGCAUGGUUGGACCUGGUGAGUAAUGGGAUUGGAGAUCACUGGGAAUCCCAGGAU